This 498-nucleotide ribosomal RNA is filed under the name uncultured bacterium. Its description in RNAcentral is "bacterial SSU rRNA". It matches the Rfam family "Bacterial small subunit ribosomal RNA", at positions 29 to 523 of the family's 1533-position model. The record is from RNAcentral.
AUUGAACGCUGGCGGAAUGCUUUACACAUGCAAGUCGAACGGCAGCACGGGGGCAACCCUGGUGGCGAGUGGCGAACGGGUGAGUAAUACAUCGGAACGUGCCCAAUCGUGGGGGAUAACGUAGCGAAAGCUACGCUAAUACCGCAUACGAUCUACGGAUGAAAGCGGGGGAUCGCAAGACCUCGCGCGAAUGGAGCGGCCGAUGGCAGAUUAGGUAGUUGGUGGGGUAAAGGCUCACCAAGCCGACGAUCUGUAGCUGGUCUGAGAGGACGACCAGCCACACUGGGACUGAGACACGGCCCAGACUCCUACGGGAGGCAGCAGUGGGGAAUUUUGGACAAUGGGCGCAAGCCUGAUCCAGCCAUUCCGCGUGCAGGAUGAAGGCCUUCGGGUUGUAAACUGCUUUGUACGGACGAAACGGCCCUUCUAAUACAGGGGCUAAGUGACGGUACCGUAAGAAUAAGCACCGGCUAACUACGUAGCCAGCAGCCGCGGUAA